This 352-nucleotide unclassified non-coding RNA is filed under the name soil metagenome. RNAcentral's name for it is "partial contains 5.8S ribosomal RNA, internal transcribed spacer 2, and large subunit ribosomal RNA". The stretch from base 1 to 120 matches the Rfam family "5.8S ribosomal RNA", at positions 35 to 154 of the family's 154-position model. The record is from RNAcentral.
GAUGAAGAACGUAGCGAAAUGCGAUAAGUAAUGUGAAUUGCAGAAUUCAGUGAAUCAUCGAAUCUUUGAACGCACAUUGCGCCCGCCAGUAUUCUGGCGGGCAUGCCUGUUCGAGCGUCAUUACAACCCUCAGGCCCCCGGGCCUGGCGUUGGGGAUCGGCGGAAGCCCCCUGUGGGCACACGCCGUCCCUCAAAUACAGUGGCGGUCCCGCCGCAGCUUCCAUUGCGUAGUAGCUAACACCUCGCAACUGGAGAGCGGCGCGGCCAUGCCGUAAAACACCCAACUUCUGAAUGUUGACCUCGAAUCAGGUAGGAAUACCCGCUGAACUUAAGCAUAUCAAUAAGAGGAGGA